Phascolarctos cinereus (koala) is the source of this 2440-nucleotide long non-coding RNA. The record is from Ensembl. Lineage: Eukaryota; Metazoa; Chordata; Mammalia; Diprotodontia; Phascolarctidae.
GCAAGACAACGACAGCCCGCCACAGCAACCAGCCACCACACAACAACAACCAACAACCACACAACAGCAACCAACAACCACACAACAACAACCAGCCACCACACAACAACCAACCACUACACACAACCAGCCACCACACAACAACCAACCACCACACAACAACCAACAACCAACCACUAUACAACAACAACCAACAACCAACCACCACACACAACCAACAACCACACACAACAACCCACCACCACACAACAACAACCAACAACCCACCACCACACACAACAACCAACAACCAACCACCACACACAACCAACAACCAACCACCACACACAUAACAACCAACUGCCACACAACAACAAUCAACCACCACACAACCAGCCACCACACACAACAACCAACAACCAACCACCAUACAACAGCCAACAACCAACCACCACACAACAACCAACAACCAACCACUACACACAACAACCAACUGCCACACAACAACCAGCCACCACACAACAACCAACCACCACACAACAACCAACAACCAACCACCACACAGCAACAACCAACAACCAACCACCACACACAACCAACAACCACACACAACAACCAACCGCCACACAACAACAACCAACAACCACACAACAACCAACAACCAACCUCUACACACAACAACCAACCACCACACACAACAACCAACAACCAACCACCACACACAACCAACCACCACACAUAACAACCAACCACCACACAACAACCAACAACCAACCACCACACACAACAACCAACAACCAACCACCACACAUAACAACCAACUGCCACACAACAACAAUCAACCACCACACACAACAACUAGCCACCACACACAACAACCAACAACCAUACACCACAACCAACAACCACACAACAACCAACAAACACACAACAAUCACACACAACAACAAACAACAACCAACAACCAACAACCAACAACCACACACAACAACCAACCACCAACCACCACACAACCAACAGCCAACCACCACACACAACAACCAACAACCAACCACCACACACAACAACCAACCACCACCCAACAACCAACAACCACACACAACAACCAACCACCAACCACCACACAACCAACAGCCAACCACUAUACAACAACAACCAACAACCAACCACCACACACAACCAACAACCACACACAACAACCCACCACCACACAACAACAACCAACAACCCACCACCACACACAACAACCAACAACCAACCACCACACACAUAACAACCAACUGCCACACAACAACAAUCAACCACCACACAACCAGCCACCACACACAACAACCAACAACCAACCACCAUACAACAGCCAACAACCAACCACCACACAACAACCAACAACCAACCACACACAACAACCAACUGCCACACAACAACCAGCCACACACAACAACCAACCACACAACAACCAACAACCAACCACCACACAGCAACAACCAACAACCAACCACCACACACAACCAACAACCACACACAACAACCAACCGCCACACAACAACAACCAACAACCACACAACAACCAACAACCAACCUCUACACACAACAACCAACCACCACACACAACAACCAACAACCAACCACCACACACAACCAACCACCACACAUAACAACCAACCACCACACAACAACCAACAACCAACCACCACACACAACAACCAACAACCAACCACCACACAUAACAACCAACUGCCACACAACAACAAUCAACCACCACACACAACAACUAGCCACCACACACAACAACCAACAACCAACCUCUACACACAACAACCAACCACCACACACAACAACCAACAACCAACCACCACACACAACCAACCACCACACAUAACAACCAACCACCACACAACAACCAACAACCAACCACCACACACAACAACCAACAACCAACCACCACACAUAACAACCAACUGCCACACAACAACAAUCAACCACCACACACAACAACUAGCCACCACACACAACAACCAACAACCAUACACCACAACCAACAACCACACAACAACCAACAAACACACAACAAUCACACACAACAACAAACAACAACCAACAACCAACAACCAACAACCACACACAACAACCAACCACCAACCACCACACAACCAACAGCCAACCACCACACACAACAACCAACAACCAACCACCACACACAACAACCAACCACCACCCAACAACCAACAACCACACACAACAACCAACCAUCACCCAACAACCAGCCACUGCCGCCACACAACAGCCAGCCCCGCUCCGAGGAGCUCCUCCUUGUCCUGUAAGGCACUGUCCCAGGGGUGCCGUUCAACAAGCACUUACAUCUAUUACACUCCGAGCAGCAUUGGGAGGCAGCCAUGUAGCUCAGUGAACAGAGUGCCGGGUGGAGUCCGGAAGACCUGAGUUCAAACCCAGCCUCAGACAC